This 252-nucleotide ribosomal RNA is filed under the name uncultured archaeon. RNAcentral's name for it is "partial 16S ribosomal RNA". It matches the Rfam family "Archaeal small subunit ribosomal RNA", at positions 474 to 727 of the family's 1478-position model. The record is from RNAcentral.
UACCAGCACCCCGAGUAGUCGGGACGAUCAUUGGGCCUAAAGCAUCCGUAGCCGGUCUAACAAGUCCUCCGUUAAAUCCAACGGUUCAACCGUUGGGCUGCGAGGGAUUCUGUUAGACUAGGGGGCGGGAGAGGCGAGGGGUAUUCCCAGGGUAGGGUAAAAUCCACUGAUCCUGGGAGGACCACCAGUGGCGAAGGCGCCUCGCUAGAACGCGCCCGACGGUGAGGGAUGAAAGCUAGGGGAGCGAACCUG